AAUUCUGUCAAAACAUGCACUUGAGUGUGUUUUGGAUUGUGGGAGUGUCUGCUGGCUUUAUGAGCCAGCUCUCCUGAAAUACAUUAGCUUUGGGGGGGAGGUGCCAAGUCACUUCUGCCUUUCCAUUGGUGUGAUAGAUGAAUUAACUUAUCUACGCCAGGAAAGCAGGCUUCAGGUGAUGCACUGUGAUCUCUCUCUGCUCUCUAAUUGACAUUUGUCUGAUA
RNAcentral lists this unclassified non-coding RNA (224 nucleotides) under Amanita muscaria (fly agaric). Its description in RNAcentral is "partial internal transcribed spacer 2". Lineage: Eukaryota; Fungi; Basidiomycota; Agaricomycetes; Agaricales; Amanitaceae. The record is from RNAcentral.